UUAAAAGAAAAGUGAUAUUUAGAAACUUUAAGCAACUUGUUCAAGCAACAAAAGGCAGAGCUGUCUACGGACUCCAAAACCCACACACGGGCCACUACGUUGCUGCCAUCAUUACUGCCAGAAUACAAUGAUGUGGCUAAAUAAAUGCAAAACUCGAUGACUACCUUCAUUCCGCCAUGUCAGACCAAACAUGAUGGCAUGGCCAGAUGAGCACAGCAUCCUUCACAUCCGAAGGCGAUAGGAGUCUCUUCAAUCUGUGUAAUGAUUUCCCAGCCAUACCUCCAACCUGCUUGGCUUGGAGCCACUGGGCAUGAACACUGAGCAAAGAAUGCAUAGUCAAACACAACUUGGCUUAAGGAAAAACAAGAGUGAAGAAGCAAAGCAUAUCACAGGGUGUUUGGGGCCUCUCUGCAUUUUAAUUUUCUGAUUAAUAAAGUGUGAAUUAGACUAGUGCUUUAUAGGGAUGUCUAUAUAAUCAUGAGAAACUCAGUUUCUGUGUUUUUUUUUUUCCCUCUACAUGUAAAGCAAAAUACUUGAGGAAAGAAUUCCUACAACAGAAUCAAGUUUAUAUGGGCUCGUCCACAUGAUGCCAGAACUGGCCUAUCCUGAAAAACUGUCUAGUGGAGCAGUGCAACUAAGGCCUCUUACAACAGCAAUACUCUAGGAUAUUACACAAUAAAGGCUUUUCAGAAGACAGUCACUUUACAGUCGGCUGGGUUCUUUCCAGAAUAUCAUAGGGUGUUUGAGGAUUUUUCUCUAGCAUCCUGCCAAGAGGCUCCCCACACAUAGUGGGUGAAUGCUGCUCUAAGGUUCCACUGAGGGGUUCCUACAACUUCUAACUCAAUUCAGGUUGGAGAUGUUCAUGAUGAGUGAUAAGCAAACACUGACCCCAAAUUGAGAACGUGUGGUCUGUCCUCCCAGCUGAUUUCCUGAGCUGUCCUGGGCAUCUUUACCAAAACACUCCCUGUUCCAUAAUUUGUGAAGUCCAGCUAAGAGUUAUUUGUAAAUAAUUCUGCCCCACCCAUAAUAACUUCCUACACAUGUUAAUAUUUGUAAGAAAUGUUUCUGAAUUACGUGUUAAAGUAAUGUGGGGGUGCGCUUGGCCUCUGAAUCAAUCCUGCAUGUACUCUGCACACUUACCUUGCUAUAAGGACACUGCUUUUGCAACAUUGAUGUACAGUGAUGUUCUGAGUAGCAAACAAAACAAAACAAAACAUUCAAUCUGAUUUAAACAUAAAUUGCACACCUUUCAAAGAGCGAAGACUUUGGUAAAUGCAGUGAAUGUUGAAAGGCAAAACUGGUGACAUCUGACCCGCUCAUUUUGAAGACUUUAUAGUUGUGGUUUUUGUUUUGCCAAUGGUAAAAAUUGUUUGAUCUGGCAUUCCUUACCUAAAGCAAGUAAUAACAAUGUUCAAAUAUAUCUAAUUGCUUUCCAUUUCGUAAGAUACAGCCAUUUGCCUUAAAAUAGAAUAAAGUAAUACAUUCUUCCUAAGUCAGGGACAUUUUCUGGUAUUUUUACUGUAACCCGGACUGUGAUGUUUUCUAGUCAUUGAGAGGGGUAAAAAUCUGCUUUUUCUGGCCAUAAACAUAAACACACACGCUUAGAAGGUAACCUGCUGAGUGAUUAAGAGAAUUCAAGUGCUUCCGGACAAAAUUAAUGUGUCAUGGAAAAGAAAUACAGAAACAGUGACUAGGCUUGUGAAACUGCACCUGAAAAUACCAUAUAUACUCCUCUACAGGUAUAAAAGGGGCACCGCUUUUCAGUGAUACAUAUGCAACUGUUUUCUUCCUGGGCCAGUAUACAAGAUGAAAAGAAUUCUUGCGUUGUGGUGAUAGAUGGGAUUUCCUAGACACCAGCAUGAUGUUCACCAAGCUAAAGCUGUCUGGUUUAGCCUGGGUUAUUCUCUAAAGGGGCUAAACCA
This is a long non-coding RNA of Herpailurus yagouaroundi (jaguarundi), 1922 nucleotides long. RefSeq lists it as uncharacterized. Lineage: Eukaryota; Metazoa; Chordata; Mammalia; Carnivora; Felidae. The record is from RefSeq and is a predicted model, not a curated record. The transcript is spliced from 2 exons.